UCGAGCCCCUUCUUCUCCUCCUCUCCACCGCUGUGCCAUCGAUCUCAUCUGCAUCGGCCCCAAAUCCCUCGCCGGAGCUCACUCCGUCCGCUGCCGUGGCUCUCCACGGACAUGGGGCGGAUUUCUCCACCUCCCGCCCAACCUCGUCGCGGAACCAUCGACGUCGGUGAGCAGGGGAGGCGGCCACCGUGAGAGGAGGAAGAGGGGGAGGAGGAGCAUUAGGGUCGCGCGUCGGCACGUCCGCGUCGUCACCCCCACGCCGGGGACCCGUGCGGAAGCGAAGGGCCGAAGGGGAUGCGCGCCGGAGCGGCAGGGGACGCGGGCCGGCUCUGUUACGGUCUGUCACAAAGGGUGAAGCCAUAUAUCUGCACAAUGCCGUUGUAGCUUGACGGCGGUUGGAACAACAUUCAGUUGAAGCUCUCCGACCGGAUGAAAAGAGGAGGAGCUGCCGCCCGAGUUCAAGCUCUACCUUCCAGUUCUUCAGAUAUGGUGGAGGGAGAGACCACUGUUCGUGGCUUCCCAGGAGGCAGGAGCCCCGGUGACAUCGACGCGUAUCGCUGCGACAUCCAUUAGCGCAUAGAUAUGCAUAAAGUAUCAGAAUGUUUAAUUGUACGCUAGUUGUUGUCUGAAUUGACCUGUGUAAAGAUGUCGCUAACUGAACCCUUGUCCAGUACUGUACCUGCCGGUGCAAGUGCGUCGUUGCAAGCAAAUGCCAUACGGGCCACCCCGGUGCCGCCUUCCAUUUAA
Triticum aestivum (bread wheat) is the source of this 747-nucleotide long non-coding RNA. RefSeq lists it as uncharacterized. The transcript is spliced from 3 exons. The record is from RefSeq and is a predicted model, not a curated record. NCBI's taxonomy places the organism in Eukaryota, Viridiplantae, Streptophyta, Magnoliopsida, Poales, Poaceae.